GGUAGCUUGCUACCCGCUGACGAGCGGCGGACGGGUGAGUAAUGCAUAGGAAUCUGCCCGAUAGUGGGGGAUAACCUGGGGAAACCCAGGCUAAUACCGCAUACGUCCUACGGGAGAAAGGGGGCUUCGGCUCCCGCUAUUGGAUGAGCCUAUGUCGGAUUAGCUAGUUGGUAAGGUAAUGGCUUACCAAGGCAACGAUCCGUAGCUGGUCUGAGAGGAUGAUCAGCCACAUCGGGACUGAGACACGGCCCGAACUCCUACGGGAGGCAGCAGUGGGGAAUAUUGGACAAUGGGGGCAACCCUGAUCCAGCCAUGCCGCGUGUGUGAAGAAGGCCCUCGGGUUGUAAAGCACUUUCAGCGAGGAAGAACGCCUAUCGGUUAAUACCCGGUAGGA
Molecule: ribosomal RNA, 394 nt
Filed under: marine sediment bacterium BB0608_AND_6.2_14G0
Lineage: Bacteria
Description: bacterial SSU rRNA
Rfam family: Bacterial small subunit ribosomal RNA
Source: RNAcentral